UACGUAGGGUGCAAGCGUUGUCCGGAUUUAUUGGGCGUAAAGCGCUCGCAGGUGGUUCAUUGCGUCGUGCGUGAAAGACCCCGGCUCAACUGGGGAGGGUCGUGCGAAACGGGUGAGCUAGAGGCCAGUAGGGGGAUGCGGAAUUCCGGGUGUAGUGGUGGAAUGCGUAGAGAUCCGGAGGAACACCAGCGGCGAAGGCGGCAUCCUGGACUGGUCCUGACACUCAGGAGCGAAAGCGUGGGGAGCGAUCCGG
Molecule: ribosomal RNA, 253 nt
Filed under: uncultured bacterium
Lineage: Bacteria
Description: partial 16S ribosomal RNA
Rfam family: Bacterial small subunit ribosomal RNA
Source: RNAcentral